GAUGAACGCUGGCGGCGUGCCUAAUACAUGCAAGUCGAGCGAACAGACGAGGAGCUUGCUCCUCUGACGUUAGCGGCGGACGGGUGAGUAACACGUGGAUAACCUACCUAUAAGACUGGGAUAACUUCGGGAAACCGGAGCUAAUACCGGAUAACAUGUUGAACCGCAUGGUUCAACAGUGAAAGACGGUCUUGCUGUCGCUUAUAGAUGGAUCCGCGCCGCAUUAGCUAGUUGGUAAGGUAACGGCUUACCAAGGCAACGAUGCGUAGCCGACCUGAGAGGGAGAUCGGCCACACUGGAACUGAGACACGGUCCAGACUCCUACGGGAGGCAGCAGUAGGGAAUCUUCCGCAAUGGGCGAAAGCCUGACGGAGCAACGCCGCGUGAGUGAAGAAGGUCUUCGGAUCGUAAAACUCUGUUAUUAGGGAAGAACAAAUGUGUAAGUAACUAUGCACGUCUUGACGGUACCUAAUCAGAAAGCCACGGCUAACUACGUG
This 497-nucleotide ribosomal RNA is filed under the name uncultured bacterium. RNAcentral describes it as "partial 16S ribosomal RNA". It matches the Rfam family "Bacterial small subunit ribosomal RNA", at positions 28 to 507 of the family's 1533-position model. The record is from RNAcentral.